AACAGCGCUCACUGUGGCAGUGUUAUCAUGUUUCAUUACAAUAAUUAAGAUUCAGAUUCUACUGUGUAAAUAAUUUGAGUCGUCAACUAUUUCAUGUGUGCAGACAAACACCACCAUAAACCUAUUUUCUAAUAACAAACCAAAUGUACAGAAGAGCUGCAUUAAUGUAAACACUUACCUCAUCUAACAGUCUUCACACAUUUAACUUCCUCUUUUCUAUUAUUGAUAAAGAUAUUUUCCACUGUUAAACAAUCCUUUAAAGGGAAAACAGGGGAGUUUGCAAAAUAGAUUAAAUAUAAAAGUUAUUAAAUGUGAAAAAGGAUUUAGCAAAAUUUAUAUCUACAUUAAGACAGAGGGGCAGAUACAGAUGUCUAAAAGCUGAAUGAACUGAAAUAAUUCAGCAAGAGCAGAGAAAAGGAGUGAUGUCACUAUGAGGAAGUGAGCAGGAAGUUGAUGCUGUAUUCAUCUCUGAGACUGUCUCAUUUGUGAACGUGAGAGCAAGAACAGAGACUGAGAGAGACAGAGAAGCACGAUGGCUGCAUUCACAUGGAUUCAAAUGUCUUCAUUACUGAUACUGAUGCUUCAGUUUAAAGGUAAGUGUACAUAGAAACACAUUCAAUUAAUAAACUGCAUUAUUAUCACAAGUGUUACUUCUUUAUUCUUCCUUUAACUGAGACAGUCAUGAUUAACUUUUUGACUUGAGCUGACUCUUAAAAACUAAAGCUGAAACUUAAACUUGUGUUGUAUUUAAAAUAAACUUCACAUUAUAAACAUAACACUCAUAUUCAUAACAUAUUUGAUGUUUCACAUUUCUCUCUCUCUUUUUCUCAACAGGAACAACUGAGCAACAUCAAACUGUCACAGCUGGACGUGGACAUGAUGUUACUCUGCCUUGUAAAAAUGUGAUACAAGGUCAGCAUAACUGUAUCAGUACUGUCUGGAUCUUCAGUGAUUCAAGCAGCUCAGUAUCAAUCUUUGAAUUUGGGCAGAAUAAAGAAGCCAAACCUAAAUCAGACAGACUGAGUGUUUCUGCAGACUGUUCUCUGGUUAUAAAGAAGGUCACAGAUCAGGAUGUUGGUCGUUACACCUGCAGACAGUUCAAAACAGCAACAGGAUCACAAGAAGGUCCAGACUUUAUGAUUGAUCUGUCUGUUAUUAACAGUAAAGAUGUGAAAACGACAACAAAAUCAACAAUUAAACCAACAUUAAAAAUAACAAAUAUAUGGACAACAAGAGAGGAAGUAAAGACAUCGCUGACAACAACAUCAAAUCAACCAGACGGUGAAGAUGUGAAAACAACAAAAUCAACAACAGUGAAGUUCACCACAAAAACAUCAUCGACAACAAAAUCCACAACAUCAACAAUUAAACCAACCGUGAAAAUAAACACAUGGACAACAAGAGAGGAAUUAAAGACAUCAGCAGGGACACUGACAACAGCAUCAAAUAUUCCAUCUGGAGGUAGAGACUGAAUCUCUUUUUUUUCGAAGUCUGGAUGUCAGACUGAGACUUGACUAUGUGUGGAGAAAUUCAGUAUCAUGUUCAACAUGUUUUAAUAAUCUCUCCAGUUCUUUCAGGAUUUAUCAUCGUUCCUGUGGGUUUAGCAGCUCUCUUAAUAACUGUUGCUACCGUCAACAUGUGGAUAAAAUGUAACGGUGAGAAAAUUCACAGAUGAGACUUUUACACAUAAAAAGUUUUGAGUUUUACUGUUUACUGUACUCUUUUUUUAUUAUUAUUUUGUCUUUUCAGGAAACAAAACACAGAUGGAAAAAACCGCUGUGAGUUUGAACACUCAAUAGUCCUCUCUAACUUUAUACAGCAAAAUCUCUUUGUGGUAUCUGUUCCUGUUUGACACGGUUGACAUACAAAGAUAGAACAUAAUGAAAGAUAAGGAUAUACUGUGCUGACCAUGUUCAACUGAAACUUAACUGUAAUCAUAAGGAAUCUAAAAAAAUCAGAAGAGUGAAAACAUCAGACAAAUGAGCAAAAUAAUAUCACAAAGUAUGAAUAUCUGUCACGGUCCUGUGGGGGUGACCCAGUGUUUUGUGUUUUGAAUUAUUAAUAGUCUUUGUUUUCAUUAUUACUUAGAAUUUUUAGUCUCUUGGUUUCUGCGCUCUUCCUGUGAUCCAUGUUCCCUUUGUCUCCCCUGUCAGUCAUGUCUCCUUGUUUCAGUAUAAAGUCCGUGUCUUCUUGUUUGACUUUGACAGUCUUGUGUGCCAUGUUAGUUUUUUCCGUUUUCCUUCUUCCGGGUCUCGUUGCGUGUGGUUUCUCCAGCUGUGUUUUCCUCCUGUGUCUCAUUCCUUCGUUACCUUUGUGUUCCUCUGUUUGUUGCUGGGUCGUCUGUGUUUCUUCUUCUGCUAUUUCUGUUUUCCUUGGCCCUCGUCUCAGAUUUUCAUGUUUCAUAUUCAGGCUUUUGCCUCGGGUUUAGAUUCUUUAUAUUUGUUUCUAGUUUUUCCCAGUUUAGGUUUGUGUUAGUUUUUCACAGUCUCUGAUCACCUUUUGUUUUUGGUGUUUUUUGCAGCCCACAAUAAAGGCUCGCUUUUUGUUAAACAUUCUCCUGCAUCUCUGUGUCUGCAUUUGGGUCCAUAUUCUCUCCUCUUCAUGCCGUCUGCCUCAUCAGACGUGACAAUAUCAGAGAGAAUCUAAAGUGUGUUGUGUUGUUUUCCACAGGAGCAUAAUGAUGAGGGUGAAGAUGGAGUGAACUAUGAACAUAUUGGAGACUCUUCUGCUUCUGUCAGACUCCACUGAUCAACAACUCAAACAUCAUCUCAUCACAUAAAUUAGCCCAUUGCUGUGAAAACACUGUGUGUCUCUGUGUGUGACUGGGUCUAAGUUUGAGACUUGCUGAGCCUUGACACCUGUGGGACAAGAUUAUAGAAGGUGAGGGUUGCUCCUCCCUACCACUCUCUUCUGGUCAUUGCCCAUGAGAACAGUCCUGAGCUCAUCCUUGGUUCUGGCUCUUAAACGUUCACCAUGAGAGCUCUUUCUGGGCCUCCUUUGUCAUUCUUUCCUCCUUUUACUUGUGCCAGCACACGGUCAUUGUCAUCUGGACAUGUGGGCUUGUGUCUGCAGGACUCUUGGGGUGCUGUGGAGGGCCCAACUAAACUGUGUGUUUCUCUUUCACACUCACAUGCAAGAUUGUGCGUUUUUUUGAGGUGCUGUUUGUUUUUUGUAUAUGUUUUUCUUACAGGUGCAGCAGAUGGUGAUCUGUUGAGUUGAACUAUGUGUGCUGUGUCCUUUUGAUUUUGUCUUCUCUUGAUUUUUCUCUGUUUUUCUUUUUUCCCUUUCUCCUCUCUACCCAUUCUUACCUCUCCCUACCUGUCAGCUCUGGUAUUGAUCAAUUACACAUAAGUUAAUGUGAAUAACAAUGGAAAUGAAUAAAUCAAAUAGAAUAAAAAGAAAGACUAAGAUAAGAAACCUAUACAAAAUUCAUAAAGCUCCUCUUGGCAAAGCAAAUGUGUUGGCACAACAGAGCAUUCAGAUCAUGUUUCUGAUUGUGAAUGCUGUCGGACAAGACAGGUUUAAAAAAAGGAAACAAAAAAUUACAUUUUGAUUUUUUCUCAUAUUUAGCUAAAAACUUUUUCAGGUACAUUUAGAUUUAUCUAACAAGUAAAAUACCAUACAGCAAUUAUUUAUCCUUUAUUUAAUUAUGAUAAACAGAAUCUUUUGUUUGUUUAAAUUUGCUGUUGAUGAUUUUUAUUAAAGGUAACCCACUGAGUUAAAAAUGACAGGUUAUUUAUUGCUGUUUAAAUGUUGUGUUAUUUAUUUGAUUGGUAGUCUUCUUACUUUAUUUUUAUUCCUGAGGUGAGUUUUAAUGAGAUUUACAAACAGUAACAGAUAUAAUGAUCCAAAUUAUAACUUCAGUUUCUAACUAUUGCUUUUUUUGCUGUAUGAUAAUAAGAAUAAAUGUAAACAUGUUUGUGAACAACUUUGUGUGUUUUUGAAAUCUCUCCAUCUCACACCUCACACACACCUGAUCCAUCCACCACAGACCACAGUACAAUCUACCAUCUAUUAUUGUCUCCAGUUUGACUUCCUGUUCUUUCAUAUUCAGUAUUAAACUUUUACUCUG
Oreochromis niloticus (Nile tilapia) is the source of this 4072-nucleotide long non-coding RNA. The record is from Ensembl. NCBI's taxonomy places the organism in Eukaryota, Metazoa, Chordata, Actinopteri, Cichliformes, Cichlidae.